This 253-nucleotide ribosomal RNA is filed under the name uncultured bacterium. Its description in RNAcentral is "partial 16S ribosomal RNA". It matches the Rfam family "Bacterial small subunit ribosomal RNA", at positions 524 to 776 of the family's 1533-position model. The record is from RNAcentral.
UACGUAGGGUGCAAGCGUUAAUCGGAAUUACUGGGCGUAAAGCGUGCGCAGGCGGUGAUGUAAGACAGGUGUGAAAUCCCCGGGCUUAACCUGGGAACUGCAUUUGUGACUGCAUCGCUGGAGUGCGGCAGAGGGGGAUGGAAUUCCGCGUGUAGCAGUGAAAUGCGUAGAUAUGCGGAGGAACACCGAUGGCGAAGGCAGCCCCCUGGGCUAACACUGACGCUCCGGCACGAAAGCGUGGGGAGCAAACAGG